This 161-nucleotide ribosomal RNA is filed under the name Caryophanales bacterium T1S013. RNAcentral describes it as "partial 16S rRNA". It matches the Rfam family "Bacterial small subunit ribosomal RNA", at positions 354 to 507 of the family's 1533-position model. The record is from RNAcentral. Lineage: Bacteria; Bacillati; Bacillota; Bacilli; Caryophanales.
GUAGGGAAUCUUCCACAAUGGACGAAAGUCUGAUGGAGCAAUGCCGCGUGAGUGAAGAAGGUUUUCGGAUCGUAAAGCUCUGUUGCGAGGGAAGAACACGUACGGGAGUAACUGCCCGUACCUUGACGGUACCUCGUCAGAAAGCCACGGCUAACUACGUG